Molecule: ribosomal RNA, 315 nt
Filed under: Triticum aestivum (bread wheat)
Lineage: Eukaryota; Viridiplantae; Streptophyta; Magnoliopsida; Poales; Poaceae
Description: partial small subunit ribosomal RNA
Source: RNAcentral
AUGACCACUUGGUAUGAGCUCUGUACUACCAGAUUGCAAAAGCAUCAAACUAUUGAUAAAGAUGCUCAAGGACAACUUGAGAAUGAAAAGGAGCACUGGAGAAAAAAUUUGUUCGAAAUUGUUUGCAUUAUUAAAUUUCUUGCCAAGCAUAAUCUAGCCUUUCGUGGUAGUAACGGCAAACUGUAUGAAGACAGCAAUGGGAAUUUCUUGGGUCCGGUAGAGAUGUUGGCUGAAUUUAACACAGUUAUUCAAGAGCAUGAUUGUCGUAUUACAAAUGAAGAAACUCAUGCUCAUCAUCUUGAUCAUAAGAUUUAG